Long non-coding RNA from Poecilia reticulata (guppy), 439 nucleotides. RefSeq lists it as uncharacterized. NCBI's taxonomy places the organism in Eukaryota, Metazoa, Chordata, Actinopteri, Cyprinodontiformes, Poeciliidae. The record is from RefSeq and is a predicted model, not a curated record.
CUGGAUUCUACUGCUGCCUUCUCCUCCACUACUGGACAAAGUCUCAGGAACAAUGCCUGCCAGAGAAAUGAUGUCUCAUGUGUGACUUUGACUAACACCGCCUGCUGGGUUGGAGAUAAUGAAACAUUGCCAGUGGAACGUGCUAACUCACUUGUUGAAGGAGCUCAGUUCUCCCAUUACUCCCCUCGAACCGGGCCAGUAAAAGGCUCUUCAGUUCGCUGAAAGACACAACAGAAGAUCCAUUCUUAUAAGUCUGGAGCGACUCAACCAAAGAACCUAGCCCAGUUGACAAACUCAGUCAAAUACUGAACUGACGACAUCGACGAGAAAUUGGCACCUUCAAAAAGCUUGAAAACAUGAACCUGACUCAUCCUGAGCAACAUUUAAAGACGCGAGGAACGACUCCAGAAUGUUUUCUAUUAAAGAUUAUAAGUUGUGA